RNAcentral lists this ribosomal RNA (114 nucleotides) under Pteropus alecto (black flying fox). Lineage: Eukaryota; Metazoa; Chordata; Mammalia; Chiroptera; Pteropodidae. The record is from RNAcentral.
GUCUACAGCCGUGUAAUCCUGAACAAGCCCAAUCCCAUCUGAUCUCAGAAGCUAAGUAGGGUCAGGCCUGGUUAGUACUUGGUUGGGAGACCACCUAAGAAGGUGCUGUAGGCA